Molecule: long non-coding RNA, 1177 nt
Organism: Austrofundulus limnaeus
Lineage: Eukaryota; Metazoa; Chordata; Actinopteri; Cyprinodontiformes; Rivulidae
Exons: 3
Source: RefSeq, a predicted model, not a curated record
GUGCAGCGGAUGUAAACAAAAGGAGAAAAGCCAUUUUCUCAAUGAAAUAAUACUGAGCUUGUUUACGUUGUGUUGUAUUUUAAAACGAUUAAAUGCCACUGUUUUAUUUACACCGGUAAUAUCUUAACGUUAGCGCUGAAAAAAAUUAAUGUUAUCGUCGUGACUUUGCCCUGUUUUCAAUCUAGAUUAAAUUGUUACAAAAAUGAACGAAGAAGAAGMUGUUCAGAAAUAUUGUAGCGCCAUGAUUUUUCGUGUCAGAAACAAACACGGGUCCGUUCAGACCUCAGAGAAGAGCCAGAAGAGACUCAAUCAGCGAAUGSGACCUGGAGGGAGGACUGAGGAGGCUGAAGAGACGGCUCAGACCGCAGGAGAGAGCAGUCCUCCACAUGUGGGUCAAGGUCCCGGUGUCCUGCCUGUCCCCCUUCAGCUCAUUGCACGGCUGAGGGUCAAAACUUUCAAGGAGACGCUAAGACGAGCUGCAGAGGCGGAGCUCCCAGGUUCCUGCGCCUGCAGGGCGUGUGAGGAGGAGCGGGCUUCACUGGCCUUGACAACUUUUAUCUGGAGGAAGAAGACACAACUGCAGCUCCAAAAGCGCCGAAGGACAGACAAAACACAAACCUGAGAUUAGGCUCCUUUUGGAGGGAGUCGGUGCAGAAAUCUCCCAGAGCCUUCCGAUGCCCCUCGCUGGAUUUGGGGAGGAACUUCUUUGGUGAAAAUAUGCGGGUCACAGCAACCUGGGGUUGCCGUAGCAACCACUAAGGAACGUGGAGUUGCCCUGGCAACAGAUGAAAUGAGGGGUUACCCUGACAUAAACACUACAGGAACUCAUUUAACAAAUCCUCGCUGUCCUUUUUCAGACCGACAGCUGCAGCCAUGACAGUAUAUGACAGCAUUAAUAGAGUGAAAGGUACCGUGAUGCCUACGAGCUAAGGCUGCGCAUUCACCAAAUUACAGAGACGUCCGUGUCUAGAAAUUGUUUUGAGCCCAAAACAGACAAACUAACAAGGUUCGUAGAAAAAAAAACAUCAAUUUAUUUUCUCCUGCCUGUGUUAAAGUUAAAGAACAAUGUUCAAAGCAAACGCGCCUGGCCCUGUUCCCAGUGUUGGUGGUCACUUUGAGCACUGUAAAAAUAAAACAACGCUGUAGUUAACUCAGCUAUUAAAACCAGUCCACUUUA